UACGAAGGGUGCAAGCGUUAGUCGGAAUUACUGGGCGUAAAGCGUGCGUAGGCGGUUUCCUAAGUCGGAUGUGAAAGCCCUGGGCUCAACCUGGGAAUGGCACUCGAUACUGGGAAGCUGAAGUGCGGUAGAGGAGGGUGGAAUUCCCGGUGUAGCGGUGAAAUGCGUAGAGAUCGGGAGGAACAUCAGUGGCGAAGGCGACCCUCUGGACCAGCACUGACGCUGAGGCACGAAAGCGUGGGGAGCAAACAGG
RNAcentral lists this ribosomal RNA (253 nucleotides) under uncultured bacterium. RNAcentral describes it as "partial 16S ribosomal RNA". It matches the Rfam family "Bacterial small subunit ribosomal RNA", at positions 524 to 776 of the family's 1533-position model. The record is from RNAcentral.